RNA transcript from Lycium barbarum (goji berry), 4705 nucleotides. RefSeq lists it as uncharacterized. The record is from RefSeq and is a predicted model, not a curated record. Lineage: Eukaryota; Viridiplantae; Streptophyta; Magnoliopsida; Solanales; Solanaceae. The transcript is spliced from 3 exons.
AUAAAACUUCUACCUAAAAGCGCUUUUACUUUGACCAAAAAAUUUUCAGAAAAAAGAAGAAGAUGUUUUUGGCCUCUAAAAAAUUGGCCGAACAGGCUCUUUAUCUGGAUAAAAACUUGUUAUUUGGCUAUAAUCUACUACCAUUUCUUCAUAAAAUAGAAUUUGUUUCAAAUUAAACCCCCCAAAUUAUCAGAUCUUUCAUUCGAUCGAAAAGUUAUAUAAUCUUAAAAAAUUUACCGUCUUUACUUUGCACAUGGACAUUAGUAUUGAAACGGCAACCUGGACCUCACAGUUCUCAACUGUAACCUUAAAUCGCCAUCUCUUUUUUCUCUCUCUAUACUUCCACAUUAGUAGUAUUACUGUAUUAGAUAUACGAACUGCUAUCUCAUGGACGAAAUUGUGACCUCUUUAUUGCUUAACUAUUUUGUGACUUGGUGUCUCCUUCACGUAAGCUUAUGUCUUGGUAGUCUAGUAGCGGUUAAUUUGAGAUAUUGUUGCUCCCACAUAAUAUGUGUCUUGCAAUUGAUGCGCUUAGGUGUUUGAUCAUUGAUGAAAUUAGAAAGCGGCAUUCGACAUGUCACUCUUGGCCUCUGCUAGUCUGUAACAUAUGAAAACAUUGUUUGGUGUGAGCUCUUUGUGGAGAUUGGUGCUAUUAGUGCAAUUUGUACCUUAUUAAAUACUUGGAAUUGUAGGGACCCAAUUGUCAAGGUAUCUUUUGAGGCAUCCACUAUUCAAUAUUAUCCAAACUUUUUAACAAAAAAUAUCUUCUGGAAGAGAACUCAAUGUUUACCUACCAAACUUUCAUUAUGAACUGCUAUUUCUACUAUACCUGACCAUAUUUAUGAAGCCAUAAGUUGAGCUUUCUAAUUUCCAUAUCUUAGUUCAUGCCUUUUCUUGAAAGUAAGAUGGAGUUAUUGGCUAUAAGUACAAUAUCAACUGCUUUUUCAUCACCUAAUGAUGCAUACCUAACUGGAUAUGGUGAUGAAUUUCGUGCUUAUGAAGAUGGACAAAUAUUUGAUAUCACACAUCAGUUCAAUCCUAAUACUCCUAUUGGGGAUUCUAAUAAAGGAGUUGGACAAUUCACACUCUUUUGUCGAGCGUGAAGAAUAGCUGCAACUACAACUUUCCGGAAUUGAGAUUAGGUGUUCAUGCGGGCACUCAUGUUAAUGCAUCAAGACGGCAGGACAUAUGUAUGAAGAUUAUUAUGAUGCAGGGUUUGUUGUUGAUUCACUUGACCAUAGAUUUUUUUAUGGUAUUAACCCAGGAAAUUCUACCUUUUGAUGACAUUAAAAACUUCUAGUUAUAUGAUAAAUCUUAUGCUUAUUUUUAACUUCGUGUGGCUCUGAUUAACUCUACAUCGCAGUUUAAAACACGGUAGUGACCCUGAGUUUUACUUUAUCUUCAAACUAAUGGCAUAUUGGUGAAAAAGUUAGUAGUGCCGGUUUUUUUUGUUGUCUUUAAGCAGAUUAUUUUCUCUAAGAUUACUAAGUUUUCCUUUCCCUAUCUUCUAACUUUUCUCUUUUUUGAUGAAAAUUACUUGUAGUUGUUUCCCACUUGAAACUCGUCAUGUGAGAAUUCACAAUUUAAAGAACAUCUUAGCAUGAGAAACUUAAGUGUCCCAUAUUAUCAGUACGGAGUAGAUGCGGCUCUGUGUUUGUUAUAGUUUAUGGAGAUCAUGAAAAGCCACCACUGAUAACUUAGCCAGAUUUAGCUCUAAAUCAUAAGUGAGAGUUUGUAUUCUUAUGUUCCAUAUCUCCAUUUUCAGGAUUCUAUUCAUGUGCUCUAAGGUGCUUAUGAUGUUGCUUGAUUUUUGUUGCUCAUAUGCAGGCUUUAGAUGUUUUGCUUUCAAACAUGCCUUUUGCAGAUAUAUCAUGUUUCCAAGGAUUGUUCUUCUGUUCGGAAGCAUCUUCAUUGUUGCUCCAUAACUUUUGCAUUUACCACAUAAGUCCUCUGAGGCACGAGGUCUGUGAAUUGGCCAGUUUGCUUCCUUUUAUGUAAUCUUAUCGGGGUUUUGGGUCUUUGUCUACGUUUGAUUAGAAUCGAUUCAACUUAUCUCCACUACUCAGAUUGUGCUCUCUGAUUUCCACAAUAGUCCUUGCGGUUGGGAGCUGCGGCAAUUUUUCAUAGGACCUUGUUCAUUAGUGGAUGAUUUGGCAGAUCAGAUAGUUGAGGUUCUAAACUAUGUUAGGCACUGUCUUCUUCUUAAACACAACAUAACAGCGACUGGUGAACAUUUGCAGCUUAAACUUGGCAUGACAACAUAACAAGGUUGGUGCAUUUACACACCUGUAUUUUUUAAAACAGAAGAAAAAAUCAGCCGGCCUUUGGAUAAUAUUAUCAUCUAAUAAAAUUAGCAUGACUUACUUUUAAGCUCUAGUUUCAAUAAGGUGUAAAUAGUUUUACUCCAUUAGCUAGUUGUUUUAGUAUAAUAUAAGGGCAUGUCACGUCUGAAUACAAAAUACAAUUGUACCUUUUGGAAUCCGAUUUGUCCUAAAAUAUCAUUUGACUCUCUUUGUAUUAUGAAUAUCAUGUCUUGGUUCUCCCGAAUUAUUUGUAAGACAUGUCUGCUUAUUUUACUCAAGUGUUCUGAUCACUCCCAUUAUUCAUAUGACCCUUUAUGCUGAAAACAUUCUUAUGUAUAACUCAAAUCUAUUCAAGUUGAUUAGGUAGAUUUUCUCCUUUAAAAGAGUACUUCUCGUGAAAAGUUUUAUCCUCACUCUUGUGAACACUUGAGAAGUUCUCUAAACUUCUCCUAACGAAGCAUUUAUUACUAUAAGUCCCAUAAUGUUAGGUUGUUGUUAAUAGUCUAAUGAAGUUAUAACCAACAAGGCCACCGCCCAAUAUUUAUUUUUGUUUCCUUUGAUACAUAAUAAGAGUAGAAAUGCUAUUCGGGUAAGUAUCCUUAAGAGCUUAAUCUUUGUUGGUCUUUUUUUUAUGGAUACAAUAAAUAUCUUGACUAUUUUUUCUUUAUUGUUAGAGGGUUCCAAGAAAGGUUUUAUGGAGAUGCUUGGAGGCUAGAGGUGUACCUGUAGCAUACAUUAGGGCGAUCAAGGACAUGUAUGAGGGAGCCAAGACCAGGGUAAGGACAGUGGGAGGAGACUUGGAGCACUUUCCAGUGGAGAUGGGGUUGCACCAGGGAUCAACUCUUAGCCCAUUUUUAUUUGCUCUAGUGAUGGAUUGUCUGACGCGGCGAAUUCAAGGUGAGGUGCCAUGGUGUAUGUUAUUUGCGGAUGACAUAGUCUUGAUCGACGAGACACGCAGCGGAGUGAACGCUAAGCUGGAGGUUUAGAGACAAACUCUGGAGUCUAAAGGGUUCAAGUUGAGUAGGACCAAGACAGAGUACAUGGAGUGCAAGUUCAGUGACAUGACACAUGAGCCUGGCGUGGAAGUAAGGCUUGGUACCCAGGGCAUCCCAAAGAAAAGAAGUUUCAAAUAUCUCGGGUCUAUUAUACAAGAAAAUGGGGAUAUUGAUAAUGAUGUCUCACAUCGUAUUGGCGCAGGGUGGAUGAAAUGGAGACUUGCUUCAAGAGUGAUGUGUGAUAAGAAGGUGCCACCAAAACAUAAAGGCAGGUUCAACAAAGUGGUUGUGAGACCGACCUUGUUGUACGGUGCAGAGUGUUGGGCAGUCAAAAGCUCUCACGUCCAAAAGAUGAAAGUUGCGGAAAUGAGAAUGUUGCGACGGAUGUGUGGGCACACCAGGCGAGAUAGGAUUAGGAAUGAAGAUAUCCGGGAUAAGGUUGGAGUAGCAUCAGUGGAAGACAAGAUGAGGGAAGCGAGGCUGAGAUUGUUUGGGCAUGUGAGGAGGAGAGGCACAGAUGCCCCAGUGCGGAGGUGUGAGAGGUUAGCUAUGGAUGGUUUCAAAAGAGGUAGGGGUAGGCCGAAAAAGUAUUGGGGAGAGGUGCUGAGACAGGACAUGGCGCAGGUUCAGCUUACCGAGGACAUGACCUUAGAUAGGAGGUUUUGGAGGACUCAGAUUAGGGUAGAAGGCUAGUAGGUAGUCGUUGUUUCGAUCUAUAGUCUAUUGUCCUUUGUUUCUUGCUACUAUAUGUGGUUUCUUGUACUUCGAUUAUCUUAUUUAUCGGUGGUAACUACUGCUUUUUUUUUUCAGACUGCUCUAUUUUGACUUAUUCACUUUCUUUAGUUUCAUUUGCAUUUUGCUUUGAACUGCUUGUGCUUAUCUAACCUUUCUCAUUGUGAUUUCUCUUGAGCCGAAGGUCUUUCGGAAACAACCUCCUUAUAUUCCGAGAUAGGGGUAUGGUCUGCGUACACUUUACCCUCCCCAGACCUUACAUUGUGGGAUUUCACUGGGAAUAGAUUACUUAUCGGUUGCAGCUCCAGAGCAACUGAUUCCCAUUGAAGUAGAAAUAGACUCCACAGAGGUCCUUCACCUGUACAACAUUCACAAUCUACUUACCAAACUCUUAUUACUUCAUGGGGCUGCUUGUUGAAGAGAUUAGAGAGUCUAGUGUACGACAAACUUCCGCCGGGGCAACAAAGUUGUAGAUGUUUUGGCAAAGCAAGGCAAAAGUCCAAGUAGACAAGGAUGGUUGGAAUUUAGUAAAUGAUUAUGUCUAUUUAUGUGUAAUAAGUUGGCUAGUCUUGAAAGAAUGUGUAAUCACAAGCAGAGACUGCGAUAAUGUAACUUCGACUACUGAUAUAAUGCUAUAAUAUUAGUAUACAUCUUGUUAUCAAGAAAAAAAACCAA